AUGGCAAAUCUGUUCUGGGAUCCCGUCCAGGGAGAGCCCAACCAUGCGUGUGGGCUUGCAGGGGAUGACACAAACCAGAGGCAGAACGUGGAAUGGAUUCAGGCUUACGAUAAGAAGAGAGUUGAAAAGACCAGGACACUGAACAACCUUUGUUGGUGUGCUUUUCUCUUCGAGGCCACUCUCAGGUGCUCAGCUCUCCCUGUGCUGGGAAAGAGCAGUGAAUGCAGCAAAUGCCCUGGGGUCUCCAGGAUCACCAACCCAGCAGCAGGGCUGACAUCCCUGGUAGUGAAGAUGCUGCCCUGCCUGUGCUACCUGGGAGAGCAGAAAGACAGCAGAAUACACUUUCACAAGGGUCCUCUGUCAAAACAAGCAAAACGAAUGAACAAGAAAGUCGAGACCUGGCAUGCAAAAUUCCCGUGCUCCAAACCCAUGCAGGUAUCAAAGGGAAAGAGAGGAAAUUCAGGCCGAGAAGGAGGGGUGAGGAAAGCUUUGAUUUCGGAAAGUUGCACUGGGGGGCUGACGAAGGAAUGA
Molecule: long non-coding RNA, 531 nt
Filed under: Anas platyrhynchos platyrhynchos (common mallard)
Lineage: Eukaryota; Metazoa; Chordata; Aves; Anseriformes; Anatidae
Description: lncRNA (ENSAPLG00000025143.1)
Source: RNAcentral